This 105-nucleotide ribosomal RNA is filed under the name Bacillus paralicheniformis. RNAcentral describes it as "partial 23S ribosomal RNA". It matches the Rfam family "Bacterial large subunit ribosomal RNA", at positions 2820 to 2925 of the family's 2925-position model. Lineage: Bacteria; Bacillati; Bacillota; Bacilli; Caryophanales; Bacillaceae. The record is from RNAcentral.
GCAAGGAAGUAAGAUCCCUGAAAGAUGAUCAGGUUGAUAGGUCUGAGGUGGAAGUGUGGCGACACAUGGAGCUGACAGAUACUAAUCGAUCGAGGACUUAACCUA